GUGAGCUGUGGUGUCGGUCGCAAAUGUGGCUGGGAUCAGGCGUUGCCGUGGCUAUUGCAAAGGCUGGCAGCUACAACUCCAAAUCAACCCCUAUCCUGGGAACUUCCAUGUGCUGCAGGGGCAGACCUAGAAAGACCAAAAAAAAAAAAAAAAUCUAGUUGAAGUAUUGAUAUUGUGCCAGAGGAACCUUUUUAUGUCUCAUUCUUUUUUUUUUUUUUUUUUUUUUUUUUUUGUCUUUUGUCUUUCCUGGGAACCUCCAUAUGCUGCAGGUGCAGCCCUAGAAAAUACAAAAAAAAAAAAAAAAGAAAAAAAAAAAAAAAAAAAAAGACAAAAAUAAAAACAAAAUAAAAUACGGUGUAUUAAAGGAUGAGUAGGGAGUUCUGUGGCGGCUCAACGGGUUAAAGAUCCUGCGUUGUCACUGCUGUGGCUCAGGUCACUGCUGUGGUGUGAGUUUAAUCCCUAGCCUGGGAACUUCUGCCUGUGUGGUGUGGGAAAAAGAUAAAGAUAGUAGAUAUAUGAUAAAAUAUAGGAAAUUUAAUUGUACAAUCUAAGUUAGAACUAUAAAAAUUCAUUCAGCUUUGGUAUAUGUUUGAAAUUUUCAUUAUUAAAUGUUGUGGGGGAAACCAAAUAACUUCAGGUUUCUGGCAGGGCCAAAUAGCAAUCAAUUCUUUCACAAAGAAAAAGUAUAAGCUCUGGGGCGGAGCUUCUGCCACUUACUGAGAGUGACCAAAAGCAGGCAGAAACUGGAGGGGAGUCAAUAACUGAAAGAGGAGUUCCCAUCGUGGCAUAGCAGAAGCAAAUCCAACUAGGAACCAUGAGGUUGCAGGUUCGAUCCCUGGCCUCGCUCAGUGGGUUAAAGAUCCGGCAUUGCCAUGAGCUGGGGUGUAGCUCACAGACGGGGCUCGGAUCUGGCGUUGCUGUGGCUCUGGCACAGGCUGGCAGCUACAGCUCUGAUUCCACCCCUAGCCUGGGAACCUCCAUAUGCCCCGGGUGUGGCCCUAAAAAUACAAAAAGACAACAAACAAACGAACAAAAUGGAAAGAAAGGCACUUCAGUGCGUGAUUUUCCUAAAUUUGCACCCCUUUCGGCCUGAGGUCGGGUCUUUGUCCUGCACCACGCAAGGCAGGUAAACCUCCAGUGCUGUCUUCUUGGCUUAGAGAUCAGCGUACAGGGUUUGGAGCAACCACAGCCUCUGAGAGUAAAGAGGGAAAUAGCAGAAGAGAGCCAGACAGAAGAUGCCCACAUUGCAUGUGUAAACUCUGCUCACAUCUCCGGCUGACCCCUGAACUAUGCGUGCACAGC
RNAcentral lists this long non-coding RNA (1302 nucleotides) under Sus scrofa (pig). RNAcentral's name for it is "lncRNA (ENSSSCG00035025621.1)". Lineage: Eukaryota; Metazoa; Chordata; Mammalia; Artiodactyla; Suidae. The record is from RNAcentral.